GCUGGNGUAGCUCAGGGGUAGAGCAGCUGAUUUGUAAUCAGCCGGUCGGGGGUUCAANUCCCUUCNCCAGCU
This 72-nucleotide transfer RNA is filed under the name bacterium. RNAcentral describes it as "tRNA-Thr". It matches the Rfam family "tRNA". From Rfam's summary of the family: Transfer RNA (tRNA) molecules are approximately 80 nucleotides in length. Their secondary structure includes four short double-helical elements and three loops (D, anti-codon, and T loops). The record is from RNAcentral.